This 253-nucleotide ribosomal RNA is filed under the name uncultured bacterium. RNAcentral's name for it is "partial 16S ribosomal RNA". It matches the Rfam family "Bacterial small subunit ribosomal RNA", at positions 524 to 776 of the family's 1533-position model. The record is from RNAcentral.
UACGUAGGGUGCAAGCGUUGUCCGGAAUUAUUGGGCGUAAAGAGCUCGUAGGCGGUUUGUCGCGUCUGCUGUGAAAACUCGGGGCUUAACCCCGGGCCUGCAGUGGGUACGGGCAGACUAGAGUGCGGUAGGGGAGACUGGAAUUCCUGGUGUAGCGGUGAAAUGCGCAGAUAUCAGGAGGAACACCGGUGGCGAAGGCGGGUCUCUGGGCCGUAACUGACGCUGAGGAGCGAAAGCGAGGGGAGCGAACAGG